Molecule: ribosomal RNA, 453 nt
Filed under: uncultured Porphyromonadaceae bacterium
Lineage: Bacteria; Pseudomonadati; Bacteroidota; Bacteroidia; Bacteroidales; Porphyromonadaceae
Description: partial 16S ribosomal RNA
Rfam family: Bacterial small subunit ribosomal RNA
Source: RNAcentral
ACGGAAGGCAGCAGUGAGGAAUAUUGGUCAAUGGGCGGAAGCCUGAACCAGCCAAGUCGCGUGAAGGAUGAAGGUAUUAUGUAUUGUAAACUUCUUUAGCCAGGGGGCAAUAAGGCGUAUGUAUACGCCGAUGAGAGUACCUGGAGAAUAAGGAUCGGCUAACUCCGUGCCAGCAGCCGCGGUAAUACGGAGGAUCCGAGCGUUAUCCGGAUUUAUUGGGUUUAAAGGGUGCGCAGGCGGCUUUUUAAGUCAGUGGUUAAAUCGGGACGCUCAACGUCAUCACGCCAUUGAUACUGGAGAGCUUGAUUGCGGUCGAGGUUUGCGGAAUUCGUCGUGUAGCGGUGAAAUGCAUAGAUAUGACGAAGAACACCGAUUGCGUAGGCAGCAGACCAGGCCGUAAAUGACGCUCAUGCACGAAAGUGCGGGGAUCGAACAGGAUUAGAUACCCUGGUA